AGAGUGGAAGUGUCAAUUGUCAAAUUAUUCAUGUAUAAGCCAAGCCACUGAAGAUUUAUUAAGGCACAGAGCGUCCUCGGGAUAAACCCUGUAAAUGAGUUGUAGCUCAUGGAUAUCCUGGUGAGCUUAGAAGCAUUGGAGAGGUUGGGGAUUACUCCGCUGACGUCAGUUGCUCCUAUAUAAAGGAGUUGAAGGUUUGGAACCCCAAGGCCUAUGUUUGCUGGGAGGCUACCCGAUAGCUUAUUCAGCGUAAGCGAGAGUGCUCUUAGCUUGGAGAUAUUGAAGAUUGAGGAUGGGAUGAGGCCAUUCAGAUUAUUCUGUUCGAUUGACAAUAACUCCAAAUUUUGAAGAUCACCCAUCUCAUUCGGUAUAAUGCCUGCCACAUAUACACGAUACAAACCCUUGCAUGCUUAACUUUGUAGUCUUAGCAAUAGUCCAAUUUGUGCUUCAUGCUUUUAUUCCGACUUGGUGAACCAAAUGUUUUAUUUGAAUGACUUCGAUACAACAUUUGUUAGGCAACUCAAUAUAUUUUAUUCUGGCUAUAGUUGAAAAUCCAAUAUUCAUUAUUAACCAACUAUCAAAUUAUUUUCGUCUGAUUACAAACUACGAAAUAGUCAAAUAAUGACAUAAAUUAUAUAUGCAACAAUAAAAAAAAUGAUAAAUCAUAGUUGGAAUAACAAAAUGAAAUAUCAAUUACCUGUCAAAUUGUUGACGCCAAGAUAAAUCUCCCUUAACUGGGUUAAGUUUCCAAUUUUUCUGGGUAUGCUUCCACUGAAAUUGUUUUCCUCCAAUGUUAGAAAAAGAAGUUGUGUGCAUUGCCAUAAUUUGGAUGGAAGUGGACCAACGCCACGUAUGGGGCCUGUCGGCACGCCGGAUAACAUAUGUUAUGUGGGACCUAACAAUCACAGGGUGGUACUUAGGGUAGUGCGUAUAGCACUUCAAACUGACAUUCUCUUACUUAUCUAAACUAAUACUAAAGGUAUUCCCAUUUUAAUGAUACCAAACUAUAGUAGACUGCAACGUAAAUCAUAAAAAUAAUAUUAUUUCUAGACCAACGAUCAUUCACAUAAACAUGAAUUUCAUAAUUUUUAUUAUUAAAAUAAUAUCUAAAAGUUUCCUAUAAUAAUAAUAAACACUCAUAAAUCUCAAUUUAGUCAACACAGCUCAACAACGCUCAAGACCUAUCAUUAGGGUCAUUAUAAUUCUCCUAGGAAAGUAAAACUACCCUGGAAGACUCACGGUCAACUAAGGGUAAAACUACCCAAACUUGGUCAAACAGGCCCACGGGGCCCACGACCUCUAAAUUCUGAUCCGAAGGUUCCUAUGGCUUUUACAAGGUAUAGGACACUCGUCCUGCAAGUUUAGUCCAGAUCGGACGGUCAGAUCGCUCACGAUCGCACGAUCUGACGGUUAAUAUAAACAUAAAUUUUAAAUUAUUAAAUCGGAACAUCUGGGGCUCCGAUUUACGAUCCGUGAAUUCCUACACGAUCCUAGAAAUGCCUAGAUUAACAUAUAUUAAAUUUAAGACUAUCCAACGGUUCAAACCUAUCGAACCCGGAUAACGUACAAUAGGUGAUAUCCGUUCGAGACUCAAACGGUAUCCAAAUUAAAAUCUGAGCACACCUACACACUUGUGAGGAUUAGGAGAUCACUUUAGGACCUAGACCCGGUCCAUUUUCAUGGCCCACGCGCAGGCAGCAAGUGGGUGCCUUGAGUAAUUUUCGACGGCCGGAAAAACUUCAAACCGCCGGCCAAGCUUCCUAACCUAGUUGUAACAUCCCAUUUGGAACCACUUUUGUUCUUGGACAUACCCCGAAAAAUGGCCGAAAGUGGCCGGAAUAGCAAUCCAAAAACCGGCUGAUUUUCAAUUUGAAAAUCGACCCAUCAACCCUCAAAAUUAAUGAAAUCAUACCCAACCAUCAGCUAGAACACAUUAAAAGGAUGAGAAAGCAUACUUAGAUCGACGAAAAUGAGAAAGCACCACAAGUAACGCCAACCCAGUUGCGUUGCAGGCGGAGGUGGUGGUUGACCAGUUGACCAAGAUGUUGUGAGGGUCACUGGUGAUAUGGGAUCUCAGAGCAAGAAGAGCGGCCUGGUCCGUGGUGAUGUUGGUUUGUGUUGCAUCUGUGCCGAUAGUUAAUUCAGCCAUAUAUAGAGAACUGAACUGCAGCACCAGCAAGAACGUGAUUGACAAGAGGAAAUGACUUCUCUCCUCCAUGAGCACCGAAAACAGAGAAGUUUCCCUUCCAACUGCAAAGUGUGUUUCCUUUUUCUUUUUUUCGCAAUUGAAAAUUGAAAUCAUUGAAUAAUAGUAGUUGCAAACAGAGACAAGUUGGCAAUGAGAGUGGGGCACAUGAUUGCACCGUGAGGGAUGGAAUCCUUGUCCUAAAGGCAUCUGUUUCCGAGACGGCACGGCGUUUCCCCUAUGCAACGACGAAGACUUAGGAAGAAUUGACGAUAUGGCAUCCUCUUUCUGCACAUCUUCUUCACAAAUUAAUGUACGGGAACUUUACAACCACAGAUAAAACGCCCAUGUGUCCCAACCAAUGCUUUACGCUCUUAGGCCACCAGCUUCCAAACCCCAUUUCUAAAAGUUGAAUCCAUUUUUGGACAAAAUGAUUAUUUGAAAAAUUGGUGAAAAUCUGAAUACGAACAGACAUGUAUAUUGUAAAAAGAAAAUAAGCAUACGGCUCUGGUCCAAACAACCCUCAAAUAUAGCACUACACUUAUGGUACAAAUUGCUGAUCACCUCUAUGUAAGUCCCAUAUACAUUAGAUGGUACAAAUAGUAUUAUUAUUUCUAUAAAGACAUUAAUCAUAGCAAGUAGUAAGGUAUAUUGCAAUCACGGCUAAAACUCAUUGAGCAAGUAUCCCGACAUUAAAUUUAAGUUUAAUAAAUAUAUGGGUUUCAGAGAGAUUGGCGAAGAAUUUAAUUAUCAAGUUAGCUCCUUUUGUGAUUUGAAAGGAAUUGAAACUGACCUUAGAAAAGCCAACGGCCUUGUGAGAAUUUGGCGUGGUUCACUCCAAUUAAUAUUGUAGGACUUUGUCAGAAUUUGGUGGCUAAACUCCAACAUUGUAGAUACCUCUAAAAAAGCAGAAAAAUUUAUAUAAAACGGAGAUAGCAUUGUUUUGCUAUUCUCAACUAAUUACAAACUGCCACAUGAAAAAGUUAUUAUGAAUGACAUCAUGAUUGGCCGAAAAUAGCAAAAUAGUGUUAUCCCCGUUUUACAUAAAUGUUUCUCCUAAAAGAGACUUAAUAGAAGCAAUCCUAAGAUACCAUGUUAGUCAAUGAGAACAUCUAAGAAGAAAAUAAACCAAAAUUGCUGAUUCUGAUUAGAAAAGAACAAAACUUAAGGGCACGUUUGUUUAGGAAGAUUUGGAUUUGAGAGUCCAAGUCCAAAUCUUUAUGUUUAGGACAAGUUUCAUGGAGUUGAUUUGAAUUUAGAUAAAGUCUAGUGUGAAUUUGAGAAUCUGUAAUACCAAAUAAUACAUUAAUGAAACGACAUUUUAAAAAAAAUAUCACGAUUACGGGCAUUGGACCUCAAGGACAUGUUUAGUAGGCCUCAUUGGAUUGGACUAGUGUUUUGUGCUUGUGGUGGGUGGUAUUUCUUCAUUGAGUUUGUAUUUCUUCAUUUUUUGCUUCAAAAGUAUCUAGUUAUUCAGGCUCAAUGACAUCCAAGUCAUUCUGCUUUAGGUUUUGGGCAACUACCUCCAAACGGAAGGAUCCAAACCGAAAAGAUGUUUACUUCCCUUGAUCAGUUAAUUAAGGUAAGCAACUCAAGGUUUGUCAGGGAAGAAGAUUUAUUAUAUGGAAGAUCUUGCAUGUCUGUCCGAUGGGGUUGAUGUGUUUGGUAUAACACAUUCAGUUUUUGGUCUAGUCAUUUGUCAAUUCUUGGCAUAGGGAAGGCAGCAGUGGAGCUCCCAAGACCCUCCUCUGAUACCAUACACCAAGUAAGUAAGAAGCUCUGAAUUUCUUUAUCAUGACUUGUUCCAUCUAUAUAAUAUUUUGUCUUUAAAAUUCAAAUUUACCAAAACAAAGCCACAUGACUCAAUUGGAUCAAAGUGUCAUAGGAAGGAUGGGACCCAUUAAUUAAAGCGCUGAACAAGAGGGCUGUUUAUUUGAGCAGCAGCAGCAGCAGAAUCCCUCAAAAACUUUGUCUUGAUUUUCUUGAGUGUGGCUACAGCUUCUUCCAUAUUUAUCCUCUCUUCAGGCGAUUCUGCACAGCAAGCAAGGGCUAAUCUCAUAAUGGAUGAUAAGCAAUCCCUUUUCCUCACAUGAUCAUCAUCUUCCUGCUGUGUGCAAAGCAAACUGGCAUCCACAACUUCAUCUAUCAUUGCAUCUGGCAAAACCAGUGAGUUUGCAAUCCAUUGCUUUAAAUUCAUUUCACCAACAAACAUCUCAUAUGUUGGCUUCCUUCUUGUGAAUGUUUCCAUCACUAGAAUUCCAAAACUGUAUACAUCCCCUCUUAUUGAAACCAUUCCUUCCAAUCCAUACUCUGCAUUAUGAAUUAUGCAUAUAUGUGUGAAAUAUAUUCAUGUGUAUAAAUAAGGACAGCACGUAUAGAAUUGAAAGAUAUUAAAUUAGCAAGUACAUCACCUGGAGCCAUAUACCCAACGGUGGCUAGAGUCAUGGUUUGGGUAAUAGAAUCUCCUCCACCCAAGAGUUUUGCAAUUCCAAAAUCAGCAACAUGUGCAACCAUAUCAUCAUCUAGUAGUAUAUUGUUGGGCUUUAAAUCACAGUGGACAAUAGGUACUGAAUAACCAUGAUGAAGGUAUUCCACUGCCACCGCAACGUCUAUCAUUAUGUUCAUCCUCUGUAAGAUAUUCAAAGAAUAGUCUUGAGAGUACAACCACUUCUCGAGGCUCCCGUUUGGCAUGUAAUUCAAUACCAAGGCUUUGAAAUCAAGUUCACUGCAACAGCUGAUGAUUUUGAUAAGGUUUCUAUGACGAAUAUUGCUUAGCAUUUCACAUUCCCUAUCAAAACUCCUGAAAGCCCCUUCUAGCUGUAAACUGAAAACCUUUACUGCAACGUCUAUUCCAUCUGAAAGCGUCCCUUUAUAUACUGAGCCAAAACCCCCACUUCCGAGUAAGUUGUUUUCGUUAAAUCCAUUUGUGGCCCUUAGAAGUUCUUGGUGUGAAAUUCUUCUCCAAAGAAGUUGAGGCAACGAGGUAGCCUCUCCUGCAACUUCCACAUUUCUUUUCCUGCGUAGUACAAACAUAGAUAUGGAGGCCACUAGGAGAAUUACUGAUAUAAUCCCUGGGAUGAUAUAUUUAGCUUUCUUCCAAUUUGGUUCAAGUGUAGUAUUUUUGCAUGGUGGAAAAUGAAGUCGGGGUGCACCACAAAGUGCGUUGUUUGAGACAAAUGAUUGAGCAUUGAAGUUUUGGAAUGGUCCACCUGUUGGAAUUUCUCCUUGGAGCCUGUUGAAAGACAAAUCCAGAUGCUUGAGAAGUGACAGAGCUUCUAAAGACUUGGGAAUCACUCCAGAUAGAUUGUUUCUGGAUAAAUUCAAGAGUUGCAGGCUUAGCAAGUAGUGAAAAGAACUUGGAAUAGGGCCUUCCAAAUUAUUAUUUGCCAAGGAUAGAUUAACGAGAUCCCGAAGAGUGCCAAUGGUGCUUGGUAUAACACCAGAUAAAUGGUUAUUUGAUAAAUCUACCUCUAGGACAACUUUCAAGUUUCCAAUAUCUUGUGAGAGAGGUCCAAUUAGAGAAUUGGAUGAUAAGUUUACAUGCAAGAUAUAGGUCAGUCUCCAGAGAGUAGAUGGUAUUGUGGAACUCAACGAAUUGGACUCCAGUAAUAGACUUCUUAGAGAUGGGGCUAGAUUACCCAAGCAGGAAGGUAUAGAACCAGAGAGCUGAUUACUACCCAAAUAUAAGUAAGCUAGGUUAUCUAGUUGACAAAGUUGAUAUGGGAUGUAGCCUUGCAACUUGUUACCACCCAAAUUCAAUCCUUGGAGAUCCCCAAGUCUUCCCACUGAAGUUGGAAUUGAUCCACUGAAUUGAUUGUCUCCCAGUUCUAAGGCUACCAAGCUGCUCAAGUUGCCAAUACCAAUGGGAAUGUUACCCCUCAUGAUGCAAUUGUGUAAUGAAAUAUAUUGAAGUGAUGAUGUCAAAGAGAAAUUCCUAAAGGAAUCGUCAAGUCUGACAUUUAACGGAUUAUUUCCCAAGUCUAGUGCUUUCAAAUUUUGAAGAUUAGCCAAACAAGAGAGAGUGGAAGUGUCAAUUGUCAAAUCAUUCAUGUAUAAGCCAAGCCACUGAAGAUUUAUUAAGGCACAGAGCGUCCUCGGGAUAAACCCCGUAAAUGAGUUGUAGCUCAUGGAUAUCCUGGUGAGCUUAGAAGCAUUGGAGAGGUUGGGGAUUACUCCGCUGACGUCUGUUGCUCCUAUAUAAAGGAGUUGAAGGUUUGGAACCCCAAGGCCUAUGUUUGCUGGGAGGCUACCCGAUAGCUUAUUCAGCGUAAGCGAGAGUGCUCUUAGCUUGGAGAUGUUGAAGAUUG
RNAcentral lists this long non-coding RNA (6492 nucleotides) under Prunus persica (peach). RNAcentral describes it as "long non-coding RNA (PPER_LNC003991)". The record is from RNAcentral. Lineage: Eukaryota; Viridiplantae; Streptophyta; Magnoliopsida; Rosales; Rosaceae.